RNAcentral lists this ribosomal RNA (600 nucleotides) under uncultured bacterium. Its description in RNAcentral is "bacterial SSU rRNA". It matches the Rfam family "Bacterial small subunit ribosomal RNA", at positions 728 to 1337 of the family's 1533-position model. The record is from RNAcentral.
ACAAGGCCUUUACUGACGCUAAAGCUCGAAGGUGCGGGUAUCGAACAGGAUUAGAUACCCUGGUAGUCCGCACGGUAAACGAUGGAUGCCCGCUGUUUGCGAUAUAUUGUAAGCGGCCAAGCGAAAGCGUUAAGCAUCCCACCUGGGGAGUACGCCGGCAACGGUGAAACUCAAAGGAAUUGACGGGGGCCCGCACAAGCGGAGGAACAUGUGGUUUAAUUCGAUGAUACGCGAGGAACCUUACCCGGGCUUGAACUGCAGGAGAACGAUCCAGAGAUGGUGAGGCCCUUCGGGGCUCCUGUGGAGGUGCUGCAUGGUUGUCGUCAGCUCGUGCCGUGAGGUGUCGGCUUAAGUGCCAUAACGAGCGCAACCCUUUCCGGUAGUUGCCAUCAGGUGAUGCUGGGCACUCUGCCGGUACUGCCACCGUAAGGUGUGAGGAAGGUGGGGAUGACGUCAAAUCAGCACGGCCCGACGUUACGGUGUACACACCCGGGGAACGGGGCAUACAGAACGCCGCUGGCGCGCGAGACCAUCCAUCCUGAAAGUUCCCUCAGGUCGGAGACCGCUCUGCAAACCGACCCACAUGAAGCUGAUUCGCUA